This 660-nucleotide ribosomal RNA is filed under the name uncultured bacterium. RNAcentral's name for it is "bacterial SSU rRNA". It matches the Rfam family "Bacterial small subunit ribosomal RNA", at positions 63 to 710 of the family's 1533-position model. The record is from RNAcentral.
UCAACGGGUUAGCAAUAAUUCGGUGGUCCUAGUGGCGCACGGGUGAGUAACACGUGGGUGACCUGCCCUUGAGCUCGGGAUACCCCCUCGAAAGGGGGGCUAAUACCGGAUACGUUCCCCGGUCGAAAGACUGGGGAGGAAAGGUGGCGCAAGCUGCCGCUCUUGGAGGGGCUCGCGGCCUAUCAGCUAGUUGGCGGGGUAACGGCCCACCAAGGCGAUGACGGGUAGCUGGUCUGAGAGGACGACCAGCCACACGGGGACUGAGACACGGCCCCGACUCCUACGGGAGGCAGCAGUGGGGAAUUUUCCGCAAUGGGCGAAAGCCUGACGGAGUGACGCCGCGUGUGGGACGAAGGCCUUCGGGUCGUAAACCACUGUCAGUGGGAAAGAUGGGGGUCGGCGCUAAUACCGCCGGCAUCUGACGGUACCUGCAGAGGAAGCCCCGGCCAACUCUGUGCCAGCAGCCGCGGUAAGACAGAGGGGGCAAGCGUUGCUCGGAAUUACUGGGCGUAAAGGGCGCGUAGGCGGGAUGGCAAGUCGGUCGUGAAAUCCCUCGGCUCAACCGAGGAACGUCGAUCGAUACUGCUGUUCUUGAGGAUUGCAGAGGAGACUGGAAUUCCCGGUGUAGCGGUGAAAUGUGUAGAGAUCGGGAGGAACACC